This 440-nucleotide ribosomal RNA is filed under the name uncultured bacterium. RNAcentral describes it as "partial 16S ribosomal RNA". It matches the Rfam family "Bacterial small subunit ribosomal RNA", at positions 338 to 795 of the family's 1533-position model. The record is from RNAcentral.
CCUACGGGAGGCAGCAGUGGGGAAUAUUGCACAAUGGGGGAAACCCUGAUGCAGCGACGCCGCGUGAGUGAAGAAGUAAUUCGUUAUGUAAAGCUCUAUCAGCAGGGAAGAAAAUGAAGGUACCUGAGUAAGAAGCCCCGGCUAACUACGUGCCAGCAGCCGCGGUAAUACGUAGGGGGCAAGCGUUAUCCGGAUUUACUGGGUGUAAAGGGAGCGUAGACGGCAGGGCAAGUCUGGAGUGAAAGGCGGGGGCGCAACCCCCGGACUUCUCUGGAAACGGUACGGCUGGAGUGCAGGUGAGGUAAGUGGAAUUCCUAGUGUAGCGGUGAAAUGCGUAGAUAUUAGGAGGAACACCAGUGGCGAAGGCGGCUUACUGGACUGUAACUGACGUUGAGGCUCGAAAGCGUGGGGAGCAAACAGGAUUAGAUACCCCUGUAGUC